Molecule: ribosomal RNA, 492 nt
Filed under: uncultured bacterium
Lineage: Bacteria
Description: partial 16S ribosomal RNA
Rfam family: Bacterial small subunit ribosomal RNA
Source: RNAcentral
AGUGAACGCUGGCGGUAGGCCUAACACAUGCAAGUCGAACGGCAGCACAGUAAGAGCUUGCUCUUACGGGUGGCGAGUGGCGGACGGGUGAGGAAUACAUCGGAAUCUACUUUUUCGUGGGGGAUAACGUAGGGAAACUUACGCUAAUACCGCAUACGACCUACGGGUGAAAGCAGGGGAUCUUCGGACCUUGCGCGAUUGAAUGAGCCGAUGUCGGAUUAGCUAGUUGUCGGGGUAAAGGCUCACCAAGGCGACGAUCCGUAGCUGGUCUGAGAGGAUGAUCAGCCACACUGGAACUGAGACACGGUCCAGACUCCUACGGGAGGCAGCAGUGGGGAAUAUUGGACAAUGGGCGCAAGCCUGAUCCAGCCAUACCGCGUGGGUGAAGAAGGCCUUCGGGUUGUAAAGCCCUUUUGUUGGGAAAGAAAAGCAGCAGGUUAAUACCCCGCUGUUCUGACGGUACCCAAAGAAUAAGCACCGGCUAACUUCGUG